UUGUGUGGGGGCAGCUCGGAGAGGUACUAGGGUCCUAGGACAGGUUUGAGAGGCCCCUCUGCUUGGUUCCCCUUCGGCGCCUGGGGGCGCCCUCUGGCCCCAGAGACCCGCCUCUCAGCUCUGCUUUUCCUAAAACCCAGCCCCGCAGCCCGGGCCGGACCCAGGUCUGCCCUUUUCCCUCUCCCCCCUCCUUCUUCCCUUCAGCCCUCCCCCUCUUUGCCUCCCUCCCCCUCCUGCGUUACUUCAGUCUUUAAAGACCCGCAGGCAGGAGGAUUCCAUCCCCCCCAUAGCUCUUAGAGAACCCAGGACCGGGUCCUUCCUGGACUCCGGGGGCCCAUCAAAGCAGGCCUGAGCAAACUGACCCCUUUUACGAUUGGGGGCAGGGGUGGCCAGAGGGAGAGGAAAUCAAAGGAGAACUAAAGGCUGGGUCUUCUGUGCACGGGAAGGGUAGGAUUCACUCCCAGAGGUCGAAGAAUAGAGAGGAGCGAAUUCUCCCACACGCCCCCACCCUCUGGGGCCUUCCUGACCCCGCUCUGCCCAUCCUCCUCCUAGCUCCGCCUCUGCCAGCUACUCUGGGGGACUAGGUUGGGAUUCUCCACUUUUACGGAAGGCUCUAAGCAGCUGAGAAACACCUUCCAUGUGUCUAACUCCAGUUCUCUCAGUUGCAAGUUAAGCCGGAACUGAGAGACAGAAACCAGCCUGCCCUAGUCAAGGGCAGUUAGGGCCCAGCCAGCCUCUCCACAAGAAGCAGGGUAAGGUGGGGCAGUCAUCUCUCUGGACGCUUUGCCCCAGCCUGAGCCAGCCUCCACUUUGGAAUCGUUAUAAGAAUUAAAUGAGCUGACCCCUGGAAAGCGUUUCAUCAAGUGUGCAAUGCUACUCAAGGUGGAGGGACUAAGCCACUUCCUUCUCUCACUGCUUGACUGAGCCUGCCUCCAGCCCCACCCCCUGAUGUUUACUGCUUAUGGAGGAAGAGAUUAACUGAAGCAGGCCCACACAUUCAUGAAGGUGGAAGGAAGAUGCACCAGGAGAUGACAGAGAGGGAAACAGAGGAAGACGGGACCACAGACACGGGGAGGAAAGGCUGAACAAGGCAAUGUCCUGACUCAUUCUGACUCUUCCCUGUGCUGGAUCUGGGUUCCAAAGUCUCUACCCACAUUCCCCUUCACUAGGUUACUCAACCUCCACCAGACUGCUAGGUCAAGGGUGGACAAACACAGACGAACGGGAUCUGGAUGGCCCCUGGGCAGUACUGACUUCCCCUACCAUUCCCACAGCAAGAAAUGGGGGUGAUUCCAUUAGCCGACUCCCCUACGCUGCAGUGAGACAGCCUGUAGGGAAGUGGGACUCAGACCCCAAGGUCUCUGUUUUGGCUUUGUUCCCUCAAUAUCUCCGUUUCCCCAUGGGAGAGAAACUCACUGUCCCACCUGCCCUUCCCUCCCAUCAGCUUUAAGAUUCUCCCGCUGCCCCUCUUCUGAGACUCACCCAGUCUCACACCUCCAUCAGCGUCAACUCCCCACCCAUGGCCUGUGGUGAGAAGGUGCUAACAACACGAUCUGCUUUCAUCUUGACCUUUGCAGCCCACCCAGAGAAAAGGGAAUCAUGGCCAAAAAAAAGGCUGGAAGAGGGGAGAACCCUGGCACUGUGGGUGGGGCUGGGAGGAGCCCAGGCAACCUUACUGGUGAGAAUCUCACGGCUCUUCAAGGUGAAUAUAAUAAUGACUUUUCUGGGGGUUCUCUCAACACUCAGAAUCCGCCCCAGUGGGAAAGUACAUGCAUACUUGGGGAGGCCAGGGGAGGAAAAGGGGGACGGCUCACUCUGCCAGUAAAUGAAGAAAGUGGAAAUGAAUUCAAGGAGCCGGCAGAGCUCCCAGUUUCACCAGAGCCUGAGGCUUGGUAAUAAGGAUGAGAGCAAUGUGCCUUCACUUCCUGGGAUCAGAACAGCACAUGGCCGCACACGAACUGGUAUGCAUGUGCUUCCAUAAUCAUACACUUUCCCAGCUUCUCUGCCUGUGGUCUAAUUUCAACUCCUUCAGCUGCUGUAUCCACCCAUAAAAUUAUGAGUGUAAAAGCAUUUUGCAAACGCUGAUACUCUAUGAAGAAGUAAAAAGUAGUGCUGUAAUCAUUAUCAUUGUUAUGUCCAGUGGUUGAGGUUUCUCCUGCCCACCUGUCAGCUAUGUGAGGCCUAAAGAGAGGGAGGGCUAGGCCAUUCCUCAACUUCUGAGGUUCCUGGCCCUUUUCCCCUUCCAGUUGUCCACAGCUGACUAUUAAGCUGGGAGCAUAGGGGAAAGCAGAGAAAAGGUGAUUUACUGGGACACAGAGACACAGGCUGGAAGACAUAGCAUGUGUUCUCUUAAAAUUUGAACCAUUUG
Molecule: long non-coding RNA, 2368 nt
Organism: Sapajus apella (tufted capuchin)
Lineage: Eukaryota; Metazoa; Chordata; Mammalia; Primates; Cebidae
Exons: 2
Source: RefSeq, a predicted model, not a curated record